RNAcentral lists this ribosomal RNA (492 nucleotides) under uncultured bacterium. RNAcentral's name for it is "partial 16S ribosomal RNA". It matches the Rfam family "Bacterial small subunit ribosomal RNA", at positions 29 to 507 of the family's 1533-position model. The record is from RNAcentral.
AGUGAACGCUGGCGGUAGGCCUAACACAUGCAAGUCGAACGGCAGCACAGUAAGAGCUUGCUCUUACGGGUGGCGAGUGGCGGACGGGUGAGGAAUACAUCGGAAUCUACUUUUUCGUGGGGGAUGACGUAGGGAAACUUACGCUAAUACCGCAUACGACCUACGGGUGAAAGCAGGGGAUCUUCGGACCUUGCGCGAUUGAAUGAGCCGAUGUCGGAUUAGCUAGUUGGCGGGGUAAAGGCCCACCAAGGCGACGAUCCGUAGCUGGUCUGAGAGGAUGAUCAGCCACACUGGAACUGAGACACGGUCCAGACUCCUACGGGAGGCAGCAGUGGGGAAUAUUGGACAAUGGGCGCAAGCCUGAUCCAGCCAUACCGCGUGGGUGAAGAAGGCCUUCGGGUUGUAAAGCCCUUAUGUUGGGAAAGAAAAGCAGCAGGUUAAUACCCCGCUGUUCUGACGGUACCCAAAGAAUAAGCACCGGCUAACUUCGUG